RNAcentral lists this long non-coding RNA (840 nucleotides) under Bos taurus (domestic cattle). Its description in RNAcentral is "long non-coding RNA NONBTAT022278". Lineage: Eukaryota; Metazoa; Chordata; Mammalia; Artiodactyla; Bovidae. The record is from RNAcentral.
GAUUGUUUCCAAUCCUUUAUUUUGUCCUUUUUAAAUUCAAGUGUUUUGUAUGCUUAGAAAAAAGAUAUAUAUAAUAGCAAGAUUGCUUAUUUCUGAGCUGGAAAUUGGAAACUUUGAAACUCAGGAAAUUGCUCUGACAAUGUUUUAACUGCUCUCAAUUUAAGAAAAUGACAAAAUGUAUAAAAAAGACACAAAAAUAAUGUGUGCUGUUUUUUCCAAUUGCUUUUUUGUUGUGCAAUAGAGGUGAAGUUUGAUAAUUUUUCUGUGUUGUGGUUAAAUAUUGCUUAUUUUUAUUUACAUGGUAAAGAAAACAGAUUUAAAUGUUUUGUGUGGCCAAAAAACCUUGUCAUUUAAAAGGUAAAGUAAGUUUAGGUAGAAUUUAUGUAAAUGGUGCUUAUUUUUAAAUGUAAUUCAAGUUUACAGUGUUACUUAAUGUCUCUUUGCAAAAUUUAUUAGAGAAAUAAGGCUAGAAUGCAUCUACAUCCCGGAGAGUUUUUUAUAACUUCACAUUAUAUGAUGACAUUGUUUUCCUUAAAGUUGAGCAAAUGACUUUUAUGGUCCAAAUGAUGAAACCAUUUAUUAACAUGUGAUUGAGAAUUAACCAUGAGACUUCUCAUUAAAAUAUAAUAUUGCAACUGUCAGUUGGAGAAUAUAUUAUAAGAUUUUCAAACAGUCUAUUAGAGACAAAAUCCUUUUAUUUGUACUAUAAAGAAAAUGUAAUUUUGCUGUUAACUCUGUACUUUUUUAUUGAAACUGUUUUAUAACUUUGCUUUUAAAAUUUCUUAUGAAACCAUUUGCAAAUUACAUACUUAAUUUAAUAAAAUACAUUAACCACUGCUC